Ictalurus punctatus (channel catfish) is the source of this 533-nucleotide long non-coding RNA. Lineage: Eukaryota; Metazoa; Chordata; Actinopteri; Siluriformes; Ictaluridae. The record is from Ensembl.
CUCAAACUAUACGAUCUGCCAAAAAUCCAUAUCUUCUGUACAGACAGUCAUCGGGAAAAGCCAGAGCAGGUUAGCCAUGUAGCUUAAAGUUACCGUGGUGACGAAACCUAGAAACCGGUUCACCUUCUUGAGACAGGAAAACCAGAGUUUGCUCAAACUUAACUCGAACUUACCUGCGUUGCCAAUGAAACCGGUUUCGUGAAACAGGCCUAUGGAAACUGUGCUCUGUUGUGUAUAGAAAUCCAAAAAAAACAAACCAAAAACCUGUGAACAUUGAGGAGCUGAGUGCUUCCUGAGACUGGGGGAGUUCUUUGCUGCACUUUAGGCUUUUACUUAACCAAGGCUGGUGCUGUCGUACUAGCCUGCCCUUCAUACAGGAAGCCUCAGUCCUCCUAUGAUUAUUGUUAAUUUCCUCUUGUGACUGUUUUAUUUGACCAAUGCCUGACUGUGUUGGCUGCUUUUUAUUUAUUUAUUUUUUUAAAUAGUUCUUGGCCAGUGUUUAACUUUUAAAUAAAAUAAACUUUUGUAUGGAA